Molecule: long non-coding RNA, 544 nt
Filed under: Triticum aestivum (bread wheat)
Lineage: Eukaryota; Viridiplantae; Streptophyta; Magnoliopsida; Poales; Poaceae
Description: long non-coding RNA (TAES_LNC018271)
Source: RNAcentral
CCCUGCGUAUACCUUCCUUCUCGCCGGGGUCUCCGCCGGCCGUCGCUUUGCUUGCCGGCAAGGCUUCCCGGAUCCUCCCCUUCCUCCCAGCUACAUUUGGCCUCACCGAAAGCUGCUCUGCUACUGCUAGCCUGCGCGUGACAAGGCUUCUGCGUGCGUGGCUUCGUGCAUGUGUUCGCGCGGCCAGGGUGGCGCUCUAGCGCAAGCUUCUUCUUGGCGGUACUAGUUUCUUGCUGCCGCAUAUAUGCCUGGCUCGCGCGUCGCCUGCCAUUUACGCUUGCUAGAUGAACGCCGCAUGCCACUGUUGCUGACGUGCAGGGCCUGAUCGACCAGAGUGUACGUGCUGCGAAUCUCUUUGGACGUUGAUCCGUUCGUCUUGGAAGAUUGGGUGAGUGGGUCAAAAUUAAGAUGAUCUUUCAAUGGUGAAAUUGUAUUGUGUUGUAUAGUUUGUUUCAUGGUGUUUUAUUCGAUCUGAAAUGUGUGUCUAUUGUCUCUGUUUUGCUGGGAUGGAGACAGGAAGAUCGAACCUGCUGAGACGUGGUGC